RNAcentral lists this ribosomal RNA (465 nucleotides) under uncultured bacterium. Its description in RNAcentral is "partial 16S ribosomal RNA". It matches the Rfam family "Bacterial small subunit ribosomal RNA", at positions 28 to 507 of the family's 1533-position model. The record is from RNAcentral.
GACGAACGCUGGCGGCGUGCUUAACACAUGCAAGUCGAACGGAAAGGCCCUGCUUGCAGGGUACUCGAGUGGCGAACGGGUGAGUAACACGUGGGUGAUCUGCCCUGCACUUCGGGAUAAGCCUGGGAAACUGGGUCUAAUACCGGAUAGGAGCCAUUUUUAGUGUGAUGGUUGGAAAGUUUUUUCGGUGUAGGAUGAGCUCGCGGCCUAUCAGCUUGUUGGUGGGGUAAUGGCCUACCAAGGCGGCAACGGGUAGCCGGCCUGAGAGGGUGGACGGCCACCAUGGGACUGAGGUAAGGCCCAGGCUCCUAAGGGGGGGAGCAGGGGGGAAUAAUGGACAAUGGGCGCAAGCCUGGUGCAGCGGCGCCGCGUGGGGGAUGACGGCCUUCGGGUUGUAAACUCCUUUCGCUAGGGACGAAGCUUUUUGUGACGGUACCUAGAUAAGAAGCACCGGCUAACUACGUG